GAUUUUUGAUAGCAGGGAUUUCUCCCCUCUGGAGGCCAGGAUGAAAUCUAGCACAGUGAGCUUCUUCGGGGGACCCUCCCAAAGGACUCAGCUCUGCGCCCAGGAGAGCGUUGCCACUGGUUGCAAUAGGAGCUUUCUGUGUGGGUGUCCGAAGGGGCUUGUCUUCCUCCUCUGCCUCUGCCUCUGCGGAUUGCCUCGCAUCGCAUUAGCCCCGCGCUGGUGAACGUGCGGGACCCGCGCUCUUCCAUGACGUGAUGGGAUUGCCUGGACUCAAGGAAAUUUAACCUCCCCCCCCCCCCCCGCACCCCCCAUGAAAUUCCGGGCCACGGUGUGAGAUAGGAUUAGAAGUAUAUCAUUAUAGCAAUUAAUACUAUAAUGCCUCCAUGAUUAGUGUGCUACAUUGAAUUUCAUGGAUUUUUGCUCACUGUUGCCUAGAUUUCCCUUGGGUCCUCUAGACCAAACCAUUGUAUUCUUAGUAAAUUAAAUGUGAAAUCGCAGCAAUAUACUUAAUAAAUCCGCUAUAACCUCUAUAGCAUAUUAA
This is a long non-coding RNA of Alligator mississippiensis (American alligator), 541 nucleotides long. RefSeq lists it as uncharacterized. The record is from RefSeq and is a predicted model, not a curated record. NCBI's taxonomy places the organism in Eukaryota, Metazoa, Chordata, Crocodylia, Alligatoridae. The transcript is spliced from 2 exons.